UGCAGGGUCCAUGCAGAGCGCUAUUGGCUGAUCUGUCCGGCGGAAAAGCCGGGAGGAUGAGAACAGCAAACGCCUUCUUCUCCUUCUUCAUGGCCGUCGGAAACGUCCUCGGUUACGCCGCCGGUUCCUACUCCCGCCUCUACAAAAUCUUCCCCUUCUCCAAAACCCCAGCCUGCGACAUCUACUGCGCCAACCUCAAAUCCUGUUUCUUCAUCGCCGUCUUCCUUCUCCUCAGCUUAACAACCCUAGCCCUAACCGUCGUCCGCGAAAACGAGCUCCCCGAAAAAGAUGAACAGGAAAUCGACGAAAAAGCCGCCGCCGGCGGAAAAUCAAAAGUCCCGUUCUUCGGUGAAAUUUUCGGUGCUUUAAAAGAUUUACCAAGACCCAUGU
Molecule: long non-coding RNA, 390 nt
Filed under: Nicotiana tabacum (common tobacco)
Lineage: Eukaryota; Viridiplantae; Streptophyta; Magnoliopsida; Solanales; Solanaceae
Description: long non-coding RNA (NTAB_LNC003510)
Source: RNAcentral